Long non-coding RNA from Arachis duranensis, 361 nucleotides. RefSeq lists it as uncharacterized. The record is from RefSeq and is a predicted model, not a curated record. The transcript has 3 exons. Lineage: Eukaryota; Viridiplantae; Streptophyta; Magnoliopsida; Fabales; Fabaceae.
UAGAUUUGAUAUCUUCCUCCGUGGUAACACCGCCUACACUCCUGUUUAUGAUAACUUGAUACCUUUUUUGAGUUUAACUAUGGGAGGUGGAGGCCAUUUUCCUGUUUAUGAUACAAUAAUUAUUAUCACUACUCAGAACAAACUGUAUAUUGCCUAGCAGUUGUCAAGAGUGCCGAAUUGAACAUAAUUGGACAGAAAUUACGUUUUAGUGCUGAAUUUAUUGAGAUGAAGCAACAAGCAUUGGACCUAUUUGUAAAUAGGAUAGCAUCACAUCAUGAACUUCAACAAAGUGAGCAUCUGAGGAUAUUUUUGAAGGCAGAAGAAGAGAUGACAUCUCUCAUCUUUGAUAGACUAAUUUAUU